UAUGUAGAAUCUAAAACAAUUAAACUUGUAGAAACAGGAAGUCAAAUGGUGGAUACCAGAGGCUAGAGGGUAGUGAGAAUGAGGAGAUGAUGGUCAAAAGGUACAAAGCCUCAGUUAGACAGAAGGAUUAGACAUUUUUUGAGAUCUAUUGUACAUCAUGGUGAAUAUAGUUAAUAAUAGUGUACAGCACAUUAGAAAUUACUAAGCUAACGCAUUUCAAAUGUUCUCACCCUCCAAAAUACUAAGCAUUCGAGGUGAUAAGCAUGUUAAUUAGCUUAAUUUAAUUAUUCCACAUUGCAUUCAUAAAUCAAAACAUCACUUUGUACCUCAUAAAUAUAUCCAACUAUAAAAUUUUCAUUUACAAUAAAAAUUAAUUAAUUAAAAGAUCCUAGUUGGAUUCUGUAAUCACACUGCCAAAAUAAAAAGUCAGAACUCCAAUUAGCAGAUAAAAAUGCAAACAUAUGGAUCCUAGUUCAAAGGUUGUAACGACAUGCACAUUAUUAAAUGUUCAAAUUAUGUGUCUGUGUGAAAAAUCAUUAAAAUGUGUUUUCCCAUUAAGUGAUUUUUUUCCUAAAUAAUCAGUUCAUUAGCUCUAGAUAGGAGAUUUUCAACUCUAUUAUUUUUAUUUAACUUAUUGAAAAAAAUAGACCUUCAUGGACCUGUGUAACUUGACCCACUGAUAACAAACAAAGCAAAAUUCUGCUAAAUUCUAGGGUGGUGUUCUUCCAUUAUAUUAAAGUGUAUCCCCUAAUCUGUAUGUUAUAGUUCUUGUAGUUUAGACCCUUGUUUUAAUUCUGAGACUGACUUUAUAAUGCCAUUGCUAAAUAUUGCAAGUUGAUGUUUACUGUGGGGAUGUGGGGAUGCACUUCACAUAUCCCUUCAGGGGAACUUGCAGUGGAGGACACCCUGACUGUCAUACCUUUAAAUAUACUUCAGUCUUAACACCAAAGUAUUCAGCAAGACUACUUUUCCUGCAAGAUGUUUCCAGCCAGUGUGGGAACAUACAGUGGGGAAUACUAGAGCCAGAUAACUAUCAUUCCUGUGGAACUCCUGUAAUAGACAACCUUUGUGUCUCGUGGGAAAGCUGUAAGAUAUUCUCUGUAGGCUGGCACUGAGGAACUACACUAUAGUUUGAGGCUCUUUCUUUCUCAUCCUUUAUUCGCUCCUUUUUUUCACAGGGGUCAUUCAUGCAUCAUAGUCAGAAUGCCUUCUCUGUCCACAUUUGCUCUCUCCCACUUCAUCCUUCAAAGGCAUUCCCCCCAUUAAGUUGCAUGUACAUCAAAAUCCAGUUUUAAUGUUUGCUUCUAGGAGGACCUAGGCUGGAAGCGGGUACUGAGAGUGGCCUAAAAUAGUAAGUGGUAAGAUGGAGUGUGGACGUUUCUCAUUCACUAUGCUGCUGAUAAUAUUAUCAGCACUAUCCUGAGUGCCCUAUCUUGAGUACAAAGGGGGGCAAGGCUAGUUCCUAACAUAGGAGGAUAGUCUAGUUGCUUAAGAGUUCAUCAGUGAAAAAGAUGUCUCAGUAAAGGAGAUGAUUUUUGCCAGUGCAAUGAUUCAAGCAUUUAAAAGAUAUGGGGAAAGCAAUGUCUACAAGGACACUGGAAUUGGCCAUUUAUUACUAAGUUGUACUGAUGCCAGGCAGAAGGUAAGGAGAAACUGAGAACUAUUGACAAGAAUAAAAGGCUAAAUGUAAAAGCAGAGGGCUUCUUUGGUUUACAAAAUAGCCUUUAUUUCCUGAACAGGAGACUUCUGAGGAGAAGCCUGGGAUGUAAUAGUUGAGGUCUUGGAGCUUUGGAGACGGUGCUAACUGCUUAGCUAAGGCUGAAUUGUUUUGCCAAGGAACCAAACUCAGAUGGAGAAUAGUGUGCAGGAAUUUUUAUGAGGAAAGGCUCCAAGGAUCAACACUUCUCAGGUACUGUUAAAGGCCUGAGUAACCAAAGACUACCAAGCAGAAAUCUGAAGCCGAAGGAAUCAGCUUUACUGACUUGAUGCAGGAAGGGAGGGCACUCCAGAGGAACGACAGAAUGUCACAUGAUGAGAGAGAGCAAAGGAAGCAUCGGUUUUCAAGUGUUGGUAGUGGCAACCCAGCUGCAACUAUGUAGCCAAUAGCAACAUAAGAAUCAAGACAGAAAAAAAUCUUGGAAAGGGUGGUUGUUAAACCAACCAGCUGUUUUGUUUCGGAGGCCUUCAAAAAAAUGCAGUGUUAUUCAUAAGAACACUAUUCACUGAAGUUGCAGCAAUGGCUCGCACAAAGCUUCUGGUUAACAGAAGAGAGACAGAGGAAAGAAUUCAAGUAUGAGAAGGUAAGGGUAACUUCAAAAUCACAGAAGUACAUGGGAGCAACCCAGUGGCCAAAGAGGACAAGAGACCACAUAGUGAGCUUUUGACACCCUUAGAGUGGCUCAGGAGUUCUUUAUUAUUCGAGCAAAAAAAUAAAAACAUGAUUUUCCCCUGGCAAUGAUUAGUACACGCCAUUGACCAAGAAGGAGCUCUUGAGAUUACAAUGUGCUAUGUCUUGGUUCUCACAGAAGUUUUCUUUCCUCUAAUGAAUAGCCAGUAUAAUGAUUUGUGGUGCUAUCCUAAAAAGUCAUACCAUAAUCCCCAUAAAUGAUGUUCAAGACAGCACUAGCUUGUUGUCACCUCUCUCUGUACUCUUUUGUUAGCUGCAGGAAGACCCUCAAAUAUGGAGAUUUGCAAUGUAAAGGAAAAAAUAGACUGGAGUUUAUUAUUCAGCUGGGAUGUUGCCCAUAUGUCCACGUGUGGUAAUAGUGUUCUCUCUUUCUAUAUGUGUUCUCAAAAUGGAUAAGUAAACGCCACAGCCCUGAGUUAGUAUGGGGUAUACUGAUGCCCUCUUAAUGUUUAAUUGCAGGGGAAGCAUUCCCUGGAAAAUAGCCAGGGUAUCUUGUGAACUGAACAAUUUUCGUUUAGUGCUGACUCUGCCUAGUUGACACUGAAGUGCUAUGAUCUUAUUCACUGCCCCAUACCCAAAAGCUGUGUGCAAUUUUCUGCUCUGCCUGGUAAGGAUGAUUUAGCCAUUGUCCUGUUUAGGUGAUAGCUAAUUUAAUCACUCAUGAUGUUAAUGCAAUGUAAUACAUAUGGUAAUAUUCAUGGCACCCUGCUUAGGGAGCCUUUGGGUUAUUUAGUGUCAGCCCAUUUCACUGGCCUAGACAGAGCUCAGGAAGGUUCAUUCUCUUCCCAAAAGCAUUUUGCACUCAUUAAUUUUUGCAAUGUUUUGAGUGUGAGGCAGAUUAUAUUCAGCUGCAAUAGCAGCGCUAUACGUAUUAGUAUUUUCUAGCACAUUUCUAUGUAUAUAGCUCUUUUUGACAUUAUUUGACAAAUAAAGGAUACAGUUACCUGCUGGGCAUCAAGCUCAUGUUGUCUCAAGCCUACAUCGGUUUAAGUUCUUAUGUUACUUCCCUGCCGCACUGGGGAUUCCAGUGCUCAGCAAACACCUCUUUCCUUGGUACAGUUGGAAGCAUAACCGUUAUCCCAUCUUGCUAUUGGAAAUGAUUAUAGUCACCCAGACAUGAACUCUGAUCACAGCAUUGCCUACUUUAAAUACAGUCCCUAGGAAAAGUGUGGUUUAUCUGAAGUGGUGAGUGGGGUUACAAGCGGGGGGUUAGCUGGAUUGUCGAUACAAUCAUGAACUCUACGAUAUUAUACCUAGAAGUCACUCAUUCAGUUCAUAUAUAUUAAAUGGAGAGAGGGAGGGAGGAAGAGAAAGAGAGAAAGAGAGGGAGGGAGGAGAGAGAGAGAGAGAGAGAGAGAGAGAGAGAGACAGAGUAGAUACCUAAGGGUCAAGGAGGGUAAGUGUUUUGCCAAAAUCAUGCAACUCAAUAGUUUCAGAAAUGAAAGUAAACCAGAUUCCCACAAUUUCUUGUCCCAUCACCCCCCAUUCCCUCCAGAGACAGUUUGACAAAGCCGUGACUGAAUUUUGCAGAAACUUUAGAUUCCAGGACCAAUGUCCUGAUACUCUUAGGCAAUGCUGCCAUUCAUUCUGCCACAAAUCAUCUGACCAGUAAAUACCGAGCACUCUUAAAGUGUCAGACACUGAGCUUAAGACACAGGAAACCAGAUAUAAAAGCCAUAUUGAGCCCCUCUGUUCAGACAUAUCCCUAUGUUAGGCCAUUUCUCUGGCAACCAAGGUGCCAUCUGAAGGGUUACUCCUGAACAAAUCUCUGUUGUUGAGCAGAAUUCGAUGGUACAGGGUAAAAACAGUUUUCAGUGAGUCUGAAACAUGAACAUAUAACUCAAUUAAUUUGGAAUAUUAUCUACAAAAUAUGUAAGUAUUGUCAGGGCUCAGAACAUGCUACCCCGAUUAUGGCACCUUGGAGUAACCUCAGUUACUCUCUGAAUUUUUCCUGCCUUUCUUCCCUGAAACAAGGUUGUAAAAAAAUUCUCUGACCUAUCUCCUUUGAAAGUAGGUUAUACAACCCUCAUUCCAAAAGGAUUCCGUGUAUAUCCAGAGGCCAAGAAGAAUCUGAAAAAAGAAUCUGGAUGCGUUCCCCCAGUUUAUUACCAUAAGAACACACAUAGCCUUUUGUCCUCCAAUCAUACUUCUUCAGGACUGUCCAUAAAAAAUACACAGCUUUCCCUGGGUCUUUGCAUUUUUAUUUCUGAAGACUCGGGUCAUGUAUAAUUUCCAUGAAAUAAAUUUGCCAUGCUUUUCUUUUUUUAAUCUGCCAUCGCCGUAGGGUAGAAGCAUGAACCUUGAGAUGGGUGAGGAAAAGAUACUACUUUUUCCCCCUAUAGUAUGCACAUGGGAUGACAACAUAAACAAAUAAUUUUAAAUAAACAAUAAAAUGAAAAUAGAGUAUCUUUUUACUAGCUGUAAACAGUGGAAAUAAGUGCGUUUAGUAGAUAUGUAGGAAUAGAAGAAAAGCACAAUGGAAGUGGCAUAUUGGAAUUAAUCAUUUUUUCUCUAAUUUAUUGGAAUUGCUUCCUACGGGAGAUGAGAUUUCAAGACUUGUUUGAGUGAUGAAGAAAAGGGAACUUGUCUGGGAGAAUCAGAAGUUUUGUGAGAGAAAGCAAUUUGCCCAAGGUCAUGUAACUAGCCAGUGUCAGAGUAAGGAAUUAAACACGUUGAAAAGAAAUGAAUGUUUCUGUAUCGAGUCUCUUUAUAAGAGCACCUUCAAGUUGAUGUCAAGAAUUUUCUCCAGGAGGUAGAAAAGAAUUACAGUGACCUUCAUGAAAUAAUACAUCGUGUCUCAGAGAAAAGAGACUCUGAGUUUUUCAGCUGAGAAACCUGGGUUCUGAGGGCAGAUCUGAACCUACUUUCCACAUUAUCCACAAAAUGCUUUCCAAAUCUCUGUCAAACCUAGAGCAAGACUAACUACCCCUCUGCAGAAGAUAAAAACUUGCUUUGUUCAACCUUUUAUCUAAGGAGUAUAAUCCUCAUUUUCCUCUUGAAAAUAAGAGUAAUAAAUGAAUGCAAACAUUCACAGCCGAUUUCUGUCAAGAAUCUCUCCCAACCAAUUAACCUGAGUACGAAUGGAGCAAAGCAAGCAGCUUAGCUGAUCACAGAAAUGCCAAGUCAGAGAGAAAUGUCUUUCAAUUAGUCAUAUCAUCCGAACCUGCAAUUUUACUUGCCUUAGGAUCAAAUUCCAUCCAUUUCCUGAACACCCUCUCUCCCAGUCCCUGGCCAUUCUCUUAUUUGCUUGUUUUUCUCCAUAGCAAAUCUCCCUAUCAGAAUUUUUAUAUUUUUUCCCACUCUCUUCCCCCACUGGAGUGAAAGCUCUGUGAAGCCCUAAGUUUUUGCUGUAACCAUAGUACCUAGAAUUGGAUAUAGCACAAUGAUAACAUCUAAUAAAUAUUUAUUAAACAAAUACAUAUCUAACAAACAAUAAAAUCUUCUAAUUUUUUUCAUUUUUUAAAUGGCAAUGAAAAUUUCUAAAAGCACACAAUUACUGAAUCAAAAUUGAGAGUAAACAAAUAUUUUCCAUGACACUAUGCUUUACCAUUAGUGUGGGUGACAGUUACUAAAUAUUACAUGCUACAUAUUGUAAAUACUAUCUUCUGAUAAGUGUGAAUCGUAGAAUUCAACCUGAAGAAUAUACAUGAUAUACAUGGACACUUCGCUUGAGACACCAAAGAUUCAGAAAACAUGUAUUGAGACUCACUGAUAGAAGUUACUUAAAACAAUCCAUUUUUUAUUUAUUUUUAGUUUCUAGUUUUUAAAAUGUUAAGAUAUUUAAUUGAAAAAUAAAAAUUGUGUAUAUUUAAGGUACAUAAGGUGAUUUUAUAUUUGUCUACAUUAUAUACUGAUUACUGCAGUCAAAUUAAUCAACACAUCAAUCACCACCCAUAGUUACCCCUUGAGUGUGUGUGUGUGGGGGGGUGGGGUGAGGACACAGUAUCUCUCUUAUAAAUUUAAAGGAAAUAAUGGAAUAUCAUUACCUAUAGUAUAGUAUUUCACUACACUAUACAUUAGAUCCACAGAACUUAAUUAUCUUACAGUUGAAAGUCCAUACCCUUUGAUUAGCCUCUCCUCACUCACCCACCCCCAGCUCCUGGCAACCACUAUUCUGUUCUGCUUCUAUAAGUUCAACUUAGAUUCCACAUAAGUAAAUUCUGUUUCACAGUGUCUAGAUAAUUUCACUCUUUUAAGAAUUGCUGAUGGAAGUCACUUAAAACACUUCACUUUUUUAAAAUGUUCAGUUUUAAAAAUAUACAUAAAAAUAUCCAGAUGCGAAAUAAUAUAAUUCCUUAGAAGACAUUAUUCCAAGAAUGGCCAUAGACCUUAGAGUCGGCUAGUCUUGGGAUUUGGAUCUUAGAUCUGCUGCUCAUUGAGCCCAUGACCUUGGCUAACUUAUCCAUGCAAAGAUUACAUUUCUCUCUCAGUAAACUGGAUAAAAUAAUAUCCACCUUGUAGUAAUGUUGUGAAUAUUAUACAUUUUAUCAGUAUUAUAUUUAAAUAUUAUUUAUA
Macaca mulatta (Rhesus monkey) is the source of this 6922-nucleotide non-coding RNA. The record is from RefSeq and is a predicted model, not a curated record. Lineage: Eukaryota; Metazoa; Chordata; Mammalia; Primates; Cercopithecidae.